Molecule: long non-coding RNA, 4139 nt
Filed under: Sus scrofa (pig)
Lineage: Eukaryota; Metazoa; Chordata; Mammalia; Artiodactyla; Suidae
Description: lncRNA (ENSSSCG00015010322.1)
Source: RNAcentral
AUAUGCAGGUAUUUGAAUUUUGGUUCUCCCAAUUCUUAGCUCCACAGUCAUCUGUGAACAAAUCCCUUAUUUCCCUGAGUUUCAGGGUAACAAUUUUAUCUGGAAUAACUGCUUCUCUCUGUGGUUAGAUAAUUGUGUGUGUGUGUGUGUGUGUGUGUCUGUGUGUGUGAAAGUACAUCACGAACCUUAAAGCCAUAUAGAAAGAAAAUAUAAUUCACUCAAAAAGCACAUAUCGAGUGUUCAGGCUACAUAAAUCACAACAAUUAAUGAUGCUAUCAUAAAAAAAAACAAACAAAAAAACAUGUUGAAGACCUGGUUCUUAUUCUUGGGGCUAUAAUAAUCUGUUUAGGAAUUCCCUGGUGACCUAGAGGUUAAGGAUCCAGCAUUUUCACUGCUGUGGCUUGGGUCACUGGUCUGGUGCAAGUUUGAGCCCUGGCCCAGGAACUUCCUCAUGGUGCAGGCAUGACCAGAAAAAAAAAUCUGUUUAAAGAAAGAAAACUAGUAUACAGAAACAGUCUACAGAAAUACAAGAAAAUAUUAUUUUAAAUAUUACAGCAUGAUAAUGUGAGAAAAAAAGAAUCUAUACAUGUAUGUGUAACUGGGUCACCAUGCUGUACAGUAGGAAAAGAAAUGCAUUGGGGAAAUAACAAUUGACUACAAUAAAAAAAUUAAAAAAAUAUAUUACGGGCAUGCUGCAAUUUUUAUACUGGGGUUGAAAACAGUUAUAUUUGUUUUCAUAUUCAAAUAAUAAGAACUCCAAGAAAAAAUACAUUUAGCUCUAGGGCAAGGUUCGGUUCUUGUAGAAAAGCUUUUAUUCACGUCUACAGCCUCUUAUCCCAACCCCUUCAUCCAUGCUCCUUAAGUGGCUUGGAAGGAGCCUAGCAUCUGUCACACAGUUCAAAGGACAAGGCUUCCUGGAUGGUGAUACCAGGUCAUGGACCAGACUACUUCUCUCAAAACAGUUUCCCUUUGAGGAACCCUUGCUCUCAUUUCAUGGGGGCAACCCCCAGUCUGCCCAACCUUUCUAAAGAUUCAUACAUCAAAGGGAAGGAGUGUAUGUUCCACUCCCAAUGCUUUCAGAUUUCUCCUCUAAGCAAAUUCCUGGAUGCUAAGAUGUACAGUGGGGAAGGCAUUGCAUUCAGAAUGCACCAUCACUAACACCCACACCUAAGCCAAAGGCGGAAAAUACAUGGUGAUUUACUUGCUUUAUUUUGAGGCAAUAAUGGGGGAUGCAUGCUACUGAAACUUUCAAAAAUUAGGAUUUGAUAUCUCUACUACAAGAAAGGGUAGUAGUAGUAGUAUAUAGUAGUAGUAGUAGUAUAGUAGUAUCUCUACCCAACAACUACAAAAUAGCCCUUCCCUUAGAUAAAUAUAAAAUGAAAUUCUACAUUAUUCUUCAUUGCAAUAAUAACCAAGUACUAAGAAAUUCAAGGUAGGAGAGUAAUGUAUACCAGAAAAAUAAUCUUGGAGGAAGCUGGGCCUAUAAACCAGCAGGUGCCUAGCUAGUUUGCUGGGAACCAAUUUAAGCAUUAUGACCAAUUCAUGGUUGUAAGUCAUCUGUCUGGAAUUUUGCAGCAUUUCUCUGAAUUCACUGUAUAUAUGCACAAGGCAUAUAUGGAAUAGGGAAGAAAAACAAAGACAAAACAAUGUCUUCUGAAAAACAAACAAGCAAAAAAGUCUUUUGAGAAUCAUGUACCACUAAUUUUGCCCUAGAGCUUUAAUGACUGCCUGCAGAUGAAUUUGAGACUCUCUUUCUGAAAUGCCAGUUUUGCUUGAAUUGUACUUAGAUCCAAGGGGUUUUUUUUUUUUAAAUAUAUAUUUCACUCAGAAUAACAACCAAAGAAACGAUGUUCUAAUGCAAUCUGGGCUUGAAUAAAAUAAUCAUAUUUAAAUUCAUAAAUGGGAAAUUUCAGACAUAAGCCCUUCAUUUGGAUGACUUUCUACAGAGGCAUGACACGAGUGUGUAAUUUGGGAUCGGCUUGAAUAAUCCUCACUGUGUCAAAGCCAGUCAUUUUGCUAGAGUGAGCCUGCAUGGACAGAGCCCCCCCAAAUGACUGUCCCUAAAAGAAGGGCCAUUUUCUUCCAGUAUGGUGCCACAAAGUCAUGCUGAGGUAAUGGAUCAGGACGGAUUCUGCAAAAAGACUGCCUCUGCAAUUAGUUCCUGCAAGUUGGCCUGUGGAUGCAACACCAUACAGCACACACAUUUUAAAUGUGGGAAUGAAUGAGAAUAAAUUGCCAUGGAAUUGAACAUAUUGACCUAAAUAAUAUAUGCUGACACUGAAUCCAAAGUAGCUUCAAAAUAAUAAUAAUACAAAAAUCUCCCCUAAAUAUAACUCAUGAUGCAUACCAGAACUUAAGGAACAGGGGUUUGGGGGGAACAAAAAUGUUAAUAAUUCACUGUUUCCAGAGUUCCCUCUUACUAUCUUCAAAACUAAAUAAAGAGGUUUAACUUUGAGGACUGAAUCUAUAACCCAUUCCAUGAGUCAGUAAUACUUAGAAUUCCUGAGCAGUUAAUUGGUGCCUUAUUCAAUACAUCUUACUAAGAAUGACCGGGAUCACCUAAAUUGUCAUAUUUAUCAUGUAUUUUCCCUUCUUACAUUUUGAAUGCAGACAGUGAAAAGACAGCAAGGAAGUUAGCUGUAGCUUCAUGCUAUUGUUUAGCAAAAUAUCACAAUUACAUUAAGAAAAUAUUAGAUUAAGGAAGCGGCGUUCCCAUUAUGGCUCAGUGGUAAUGAACCCAACUAGUAUCCAUGAGGAAGCGGGUUCAAUCCCUGGUCCUGCUCAGUGGAUUAAGGAUCCAGCAUUGCCAUUAGCUGCAAUGUAGGUCGUCGUAGAUAUUGUAGCUGUGGCUGUGGCAUAGGCUGGCAGCUACAACUCUGAUUCGACCCCUAGCCUGGGAACUUCCAUAUGCAGUGUGUGCGGCCCUAAAAAUACAGCCAAUCAAUCACUCAAUCAAUAAAGGAAGCAAUUUAAAGUGUCAGUAGGCAUAUUACUUAGAUAUUUCUGCCCCUUCUCAACAAACCUGAACUUUUUCUUCCUUACUUGCCUCCAGUGGGCCAGGGUGGUGACAGCUGCCCAGUUCCUCCUCUCCUGCCUUCAGGUGGUAGAGUUUGUCACAUUUCCUAUAUGACGCAAUUGGAGGGAUGCUGAGAAAUAUCUGUCGGUCUGUCAUUAGCGCCUGACCCCAUAAGCCAUUUCUGAGUAUUAACCCAACCCUGAAUCAGGCUCUUUCCUGUAAGGAGAUUUCCAAGGAACUGAGAGGGUAUACUAAUUCAGCACAGGUGGAUAAUCUGGACAGGUGACAGAAAUGUUCCGAGUUAAGAGAUAAUCUCUUUGAAGACAGAAAUAGGCAGGGCCUCCUGAGCAUCACAUGCUGCCAAGCAGGAGUAUUAGGAGUUGAAUUGCCAAAACAAACAAACCAAAAAAACCUGCAUGUGGAAGUCCUAAUCCCUAGUACCUCAGCAUGAGAUCUUGUUUGGAAGUAGCAUCUUUCCAGAGAUAACCAAAUUAAAAUGAAGCCAUUAGGGGGGCCCUAAUCCGGUGUGACUGAUGUCCUCCUAAGAAGAAGAAACUUGAACACAGAGACAUUCAGGCACAGAGGGAUGAACGUGUGAAGUCCCAGGGAGGUUUCACAUGAAGACAGAUGCAGAGACUGGAAUUGUGCUGUCAGAAGAUGGUAAACAUCAAGGAUUGAUGGAAAUGACCCCAAACUGGGAAGAGACAGGGUAGGAUUCUCCCCUAUAGGAUCAUUCAGAAGGAGCACCUGCUGGCACCUUAGUUUGGACUUCUAGCUUCCAGAACUGGGACACCAUAAAAUCCUAUGAUUUUAAGCCAACCAGUUACUUGACUUUAUUACAGCAGCCCUACAAAACUAAUCCAGAAGUUCCUGUGGUGGUGUAGCGGGAAUGAAUCCGACUAGGAACCAUGAGGUUGUGGGUUCAAUCCCUGGCCUCGCUCAGUGGGUUAAGAAUCCGGCAUUGCUGUGAGCUCUGGUGUAGGUUGCAGAUGUGGCUGAGAUCUGGCGUUGCUGUGGUUGUGCUGUAGACUGGCAGCUGUACUUCCAAUUUGACCCCUGGGAUCUUCCAUAUGCCGGGGAUGUGGCCCUACAAAGGACAAAAGACAAAAAAAAAAAAAAAAAA